RNAcentral lists this long non-coding RNA (1027 nucleotides) under Scleropages formosus (Asian bonytongue). RNAcentral describes it as "lncRNA (ENSSFOG00015027144.1)". The record is from RNAcentral. Lineage: Eukaryota; Metazoa; Chordata; Actinopteri; Osteoglossiformes; Osteoglossidae.
CACCAUUCUUAUAUGAGUUCUUAACCACAGAUUUCCUGAUAUAGUGCACUUGGUUUUUCCACAGAGAAUUGAAGAGCAUCUGGUCUGUCAGUUUUGUUGUCUAGAUGUGAGCCUGGAGAUACCUUCUGCUUUGGAGAGAAGUGCCCGCACUUUUAAAGACAGAUCCUUUUGCAAACAAAGAUUAAAUUUGUUUUUGUCUUAUCAAUUAUUGGGUUAAAGUUUAGAGCGAUUCUGUCCACUGGAUCCUUACUUAUCUGAAUCCCUAAAUAAUUUAUUUUCUCUUUGACUGGGAUGCCAUUAAUUGACGUUACAGGACAAUACUUUGAAGCAAGCAGCUCACAUUUUUUAAGGUUAAGACACAGACCUCAAACUUUGGAAAACACUUCAAUUAACUCAACAGCAGCCUGUAUCUGUGAAACAUCUCCCAAGAAUAAAAUCGCAUCACAUUCUACAGAAUCACAAAGAGUCUGAAGGGCAGACAGACAGACAACUUUCACUUUCGCUUUUGUGACAUAUCAGAUGACGUCAAGAAACGGUAUUGGUCCAUCAGUGUAGUGCGGGAUUUUUGAAUAAAAACACUUGUGUUGAAGGGUGACGGUAAGGUGCUCAGGAUCUACACUCAGUACAGUUUUGGUUGCAUUCUUGAAUUUUGGACAAAAUGUUUUUAAUAUCCCAAUAUUUUGCAUCGUUUGCUAUCAUUUUUGUUAAGUGUUGAAGUGUAAUCGAUUGAAUGACUGAGUGUGUACUGUACUGAGAGGUCAUGUUACUGUCCUUUCCAGCCCGUGUGUGUGUGUGUGUUUUCAUCCUGGAUCUAAAAAAGGAAUCCAACCAAAAAUGCUCAGACACAAGCGAAGGAGGAGCUUAGAGAUUCAUGUUGAUUGUAAGUAUGAAAUCACUUUCAACACUACAGGAAAUACACGAAAAUACACAAACAUACAAAAUUUUAAAGUUAUUACUGAGGCACUGCUGACAGCUUCAUGUAAUUUUAUGAAAACGUAUUGGUUAUACUUUGGAGUAUGAUUAUUAU